UUCCUGGUGGUCCAGCGGUGAAGACUGCUCUUUCAAUGCAGGGGAGGCCCAGGUUCAAUCCCUGGUCAGGGAA
This 73-nucleotide transfer RNA is filed under the name Ovis aries (sheep). It matches the Rfam family "tRNA". From Rfam's summary of the family: Transfer RNA (tRNA) molecules are approximately 80 nucleotides in length. Their secondary structure includes four short double-helical elements and three loops (D, anti-codon, and T loops). Lineage: Eukaryota; Metazoa; Chordata; Mammalia; Artiodactyla; Bovidae. The record is from Rfam by way of RNAcentral.